GACGAACGCUGGCGGCGUGCUUAACACAUGCAAGUCGAACGGAAAGGCCCUGCUUUUGUGGGGUGCUCGAGUGGCGAACGGGUGAGUAACCCGUGAGUAACCUGCCCUUGACUUUGGGAUAACUUCAGGAAACUGGGGCUAAUACCGGAUAGGAGCUCCUGCUGCAUGGUUGGGGUUGGAAAGUUUCGGCGGUUGGGGAUGGACUCGCGGCUUAUCAGCUUGUUGGUGGGGUAGUGGCUUACCAAGGCUUUGACGGGUAGCCGGCCUGAGAGGGUGACCGGCCACAUUGGGAUUGAGGUACGGCCCAGACUCCUUCGGGAGGCAGCAGUGGGGAAUAUUGCAGAAUGGGCGGAAGCCUGAUGCAGCAACGCCGCGUGCGGGAUGACGGCCUUAGGGUUGUAAACCGCUUUCGCCUGUGACGAAGCGUGAGUGACGGUAAUGGGUAAAGAAGCACCGGCUAACUACGUG
RNAcentral lists this ribosomal RNA (468 nucleotides) under uncultured bacterium. RNAcentral describes it as "partial 16S ribosomal RNA". It matches the Rfam family "Bacterial small subunit ribosomal RNA", at positions 28 to 507 of the family's 1533-position model. The record is from RNAcentral.